This 253-nucleotide ribosomal RNA is filed under the name uncultured bacterium. RNAcentral's name for it is "partial 16S ribosomal RNA". It matches the Rfam family "Bacterial small subunit ribosomal RNA", at positions 524 to 776 of the family's 1533-position model. The record is from RNAcentral.
UACGUAGGGACCGAGCGUUGUCCGGAUUCAUUGGGCGUAAAGAGCUCGUAGGCGGCUGUUCAAGUCGAACGUGAAAACUCGGAGCUUAACUCCGAGCCUGCUUCCGAUACGGGCAGACUAGAGGUAGGCAGGGGAGAGCGGAACUCCUGGUGUAGCGGUGGAAUGCGCAGAUAUCAGGAAGAACACCAAUGGCGAAAGCAGCUCUCUGGGACGGUACUGACGCUGAGACGCGAAAGCGUGGGGAGCGAACAGG